UUUUAACAAUGGAUAUCUUGGCUCUCGUAACGAUGAAGAACGCAGCGAAAUGCGAUACGUAAUGUGAAUUGCAGACCUCAGUGAAUCAUCGAAUCUUUGAACGCAUAUUGCACUCUUGGGCAUUCCUGAGAGUAUGUUUGUUUGAGUGUC
RNAcentral lists this ribosomal RNA (150 nucleotides) under Paramoeba pemaquidensis. RNAcentral's name for it is "5.8S ribosomal RNA". It matches the Rfam family "5.8S ribosomal RNA". Rfam says of the family: 5.8S ribosomal RNA (5.8S rRNA) is a component of the large subunit of the eukaryotic ribosome. It is transcribed by RNA polymerase I as part of the 45S precursor that also contains 18S and 28S rRNA. Lineage: Eukaryota; Discosea; Flabellinia; Dactylopodida; Paramoebidae. The record is from RNAcentral.